Long non-coding RNA from Argiope bruennichi, 945 nucleotides. RefSeq lists it as uncharacterized. The transcript is spliced from 3 exons. NCBI's taxonomy places the organism in Eukaryota, Metazoa, Arthropoda, Arachnida, Araneae, Araneidae. The record is from RefSeq and is a predicted model, not a curated record.
GUUAAAUCUUAUGAAUGCACGUUUGCUUUAGGAGAACGUUUCUUAUUGAGGCAGUAAACUACAAGCGUGUAUGCCUGUGAAAAAGAACUUGCUUUUUCAAAUUAAAUUUUGUUUUCUUUGAUGCUUGUCUUUAUCUAUUUUACUCUGCUACUAAUAACUGAAAGAACUGAAAAAAUAAUGUAUUUCUGAAAGUCACUUGCACCCAGAAAAGAUGAUACCUCGUGUAUUUUUAUUUAAAGGAUUGGUGGAACUGUACUUCCUAUACAAAAUUUUACCGAUCUUUGAAUAUACUUGUACAUGAUUGGCUGUACUCCUACAUCUAUUGUGAUAUGUACGCUAUUUUGAAAAGCAGAACUGUUGCUAUGUUGUCAGUUUUUAUGCUAUCUGCAAUUGUUCACGAAUAUAUCGUAGCCAUUUCUCUCAGAUUUAUAUUCCCUCCUUUAUUCACAUUAUUUUACAUAGCUGGUAUUAUAUUCAUUUUUAUGACUCGAAGAAGAACCUCAAACUUCUGGAACUUUUUCCUUUGGUUUACUUUGUUGCUAGGAUAUGGACUUUUACUAGUUUUCUACUCUUUGGAAAUGUCUGCCAGGAUCAACUGCCCGAGGAUUUUAGUAGGUUUUUCCUCCUUUAAUUUAGUUUUACUUCCUACACACGAAGUAUAGAAAGAGAAAAUAUUAUACACGUCAAAAAAUUGCAAGUCGAGACUUCGUUGAAACUCAACGUUUCAGAACUGCCUGAAUCCGAAAAACACGUUUCUGGAAGUAUACUUGUCUGUCUGUGAACACGAUAACUAAAAAAUGGUUUGAGCUAGCCGAGCGAAAUUUGUUGUAUGGUUUUUACAACAAAUUUGAAGAUUUCUGUCAAAGUUUGAACAAGAUCAUUUCAAACGAAGGUCUGUCCCUUCAAUUGUUCCAGUAUAUCUUAACACGAUAAAUAUCAAACAAA